RNAcentral lists this long non-coding RNA (1868 nucleotides) under Homo sapiens (human). RNAcentral's name for it is "HSALNT0367537". Lineage: Eukaryota; Metazoa; Chordata; Mammalia; Primates; Hominidae. The record is from RNAcentral.
CUCAUCUACAGACGGUUCCGUCAUAAGGCCAAAAAUGAUUGGAUUCAAAGGAUCUGAAAGAUUGGUCCAGCCCUUUCUUUAUUCUGAUUAGAAACAGUCCCAGAGGUGACGUGAUUUGCCCAAAGUAGCGCAACUUCCUGGAACGAGAAACCAAUCCUAAGAUUUCCAUGUCGGCGUUCUUUCCGCGGUGAUCGGGUUACCUCCCAGACAUAGGAUUUACUUUUGAAAGAAAAGGAGCGGUCACACGGGAGAGGCAUUGAAGGAAAAAUUAUUUGAAUUUGGCAACUGCUUGUGGUGGGGGGAUGAGAGGUGGAGGGUGAUAAAGCGCCCCCUCACACUCACACACAAAUAAUGUGAACAAUUUUAAAUUGCUUUACUUUAGGAGAUCAUGGAUUUUCCAGGGGGGCUGAGAACUUACCUGUUUACCCAGCCAAGUUAACAAUACUCUGCAUUGUUUACCUAACGCAGAGUAGGUACUGAAGAACUAUUUGUCGCACGGAUGACUGCAUGACCGGAUGCAUCCCAUUCCAUCAUAGAGUCAGAUGAGGAUUUGCAGAGCCAAGCCCCACCUGGGAGGCAUGUUAAGUCCUUUCCAGUUCUUCUCAAUUAUGGCUCUGCAGUGAGUAUCUUUUGUUCAUAAAUUCUUGACUGCACAUCUUGAUUAUCUCCUCAGGAUAUUUUCCUAGAAGUGGGAUUACUGGAUUGAAGGGGAUGCACAUAUUUAAGAUUCUUGAUUCCGAACCCCUCCAGCAGUAUAAAAAUGAGUCCGCUUCCCAGCAAGCUGGCCCAAACAGGCUAUUAUCAGGCUUAAUUUUUAUUUUUUAUUUUUGUGCCCUCCUAAUAGAACAAAAAUCGCAUCUCGUUUGGUUUGCAUCUCUUUGGGGACUAAUUAGAUCGAGAUUGAACUAGUUUUGAAGAAACACUCUAAGGAGUCCAGAGAAAUCCUGUGUGGGGCAGGAGAUCCAUGAAAGGAGGCACAUCCCGCCCACUGAGGUGAAACCAAAGGGCUUCUAUUGUUUGGUGUGAUUUAACCUUAAGAUGGAAACAUCUGAGCCUUGCUAGAGAGGCUUCCCCGGAACAACGGCUGGGGGUGGGGAGCUGUGACUUAUCAGCUUCCCUAUGUUUAUUUUCAUUUCCUGAUGGAGAGUAAAUCUUAUAAACAAAUGAAAAACCUGUGGACUUAUCUUUAAAGACUACAAGGAAAAGGGGAACUGGGCAAACUAUUGCAACUCAAAGUCGUGGAAAGGCAGGAGGGGGAGUGGGGAAUUUAGAAAGAUAUUUCCAAGAGAUGGCAGAUAGGUCCCUGGGGGCCUGUGGCCAGCCUGGAGAGGGAGAGACCAAGCCAGAGGCUGUGGAAAGCUCUAGAGACUUUGUACUAGAAAGGCUGCUGUUGGUGGCAGAGCUUACAUGGCCAGGGAUCCCGGAGGACCUGGAAGGGGUUUUAAUGGACUUUUGAGAAUCAAAGUGAACUGCCAGGGACAAACAAGAGUGGCGAGGAAAUGGAAGCAGUCAUACCACUCAGGCUGGAAAAUCGCUCUAGGAAUGGCAAGAAGGGCUCUUUCUCACUUGGAUGGUCCCCAGAAAGUCAGCUGCCAUGUCACGAAGUGCCCUGUGAGAAGGACCUGUAAGGAGGGACGGAGGGAGGCCUCUAAAUGACAGCCUUCGAGGAACUGAAUCCUGCUGGUGACCAUGUGAGGGAGCUUGGACUCCGGUCCCCCUGUGUUGAGCCUUCAGAUGAGUUGGCAGCCCCAGCUGGUGGCAUGACUGUAACGUCCUGAAACACCUUCAGCCAGAAAGCAUUCAGCUAAACCACACCUGUAUUUCUGACCCAAAGAAAUUGUGAGAUAAUAAACAUUUCUUCUCUUGAA